RNAcentral lists this unclassified non-coding RNA (305 nucleotides) under plant metagenome. RNAcentral's name for it is "partial contains 5.8S ribosomal RNA, internal transcribed spacer 2, and large subunit ribosomal RNA". The stretch from base 1 to 104 matches the Rfam family "5.8S ribosomal RNA", at positions 51 to 154 of the family's 154-position model. The record is from RNAcentral.
AAAUGCGAUAAGUAAUGUGAAUUGCAGAAUUCAGUGAAUCAUCGAAUCUUUGAACGCACAUUGCGCCCGCCAGUAUUCUGGCGGGCAUGCCUGUCCAAGCGUCAUUUCAACCAUCAAGCCCCCGGGCUUGUGUUGGGGACCUGCGGCUGCCCGCAGGCCCUGAAAACCAGUGGCGGGCUCGCUGUCACACCGAGCGUAGUAGCAAUCACCUCGCUCAGGGCGUGCUGCGGGUUCCGGCCGUUAAACAGCCUUACAAAACCCAAGGUUGACCUCGGAUCAGGUAGGAAGACCCGCUGAACUUAAGC